This 94-nucleotide non-coding RNA is filed under the name uncultured Schaedlerella sp. RNAcentral describes it as "S10-Clostridia ribosomal protein leader". It matches the Rfam family "S10-Clostridia ribosomal protein leader". The record is from RNAcentral. Lineage: Bacteria; Bacillati; Bacillota; Clostridia; Lachnospirales; Lachnospiraceae.
UGAUAGCUGUGAAGCGAGAGGUUGCUGCUGACAUGUAAAUACAUGAUGGCAGGUUUUCCGUGGAGCGAAUGUCAAGUUAGGAAACUGGCGACAA